AUUGAACGCUGGCGGCAGGCCUAACACAUGCAAGUCGAGCGGAUGAAGGGAGCUUGCUCCUGGAUUCAGCGGCGGACGGGUGAGUAAUGCCUAGGAAUCUGCCUGGUAGUGGGGGAUAACGUCCGGAAACGGGCGCUAAUACCGCAUACGUCCUGAGGGAGAAAGUGGGGGAUCUUCGGACCUCACGCUAUCAGAUGAGCCUAGGUCGGAUUAGCUAGUUGGUGGGGUAAAGGCCUACCAAGACGACGAUCCGUAACUGGUCUGAGAGGAUGAUCAGUCACACUGGAACUGAGACACGGUCCAUACUCCUACGGGAGGCAGCAGUGGGGAAUAUUGGACAAAGGGCGAAAGCCUGAUCCAGCCAUGCCGCGUGUGUGAAGAAGGUCUUCGGAUUGUAAAGCACUUUAAGUUGGGAGGAAGGGCAGUAAGUUAAUACCUUGCUGUUUUGACGUUACCAACAGAAUAAGCACCGGCUAACUUCGUG
RNAcentral lists this ribosomal RNA (484 nucleotides) under uncultured bacterium. RNAcentral's name for it is "partial 16S ribosomal RNA". It matches the Rfam family "Bacterial small subunit ribosomal RNA", at positions 30 to 507 of the family's 1533-position model. The record is from RNAcentral.